AAUUCUCUAUCUAUAAAUACACGUACACACACAUCUACACUCUCAUUCACUACCAAUAAUACACACAGUUGCAAAUAAACAUGAAGAGCACAGGAAAGAGCAGCUCAAAUCCCAAGGCAACCGGAAAAUCCGGUCACGAAGCCCGAAAAGAUCGCCAGUCCGGCACCGGAGUCACCGGAUCACCGAAGAAAGGCGGUCACGGCGGCAAGUUCACCUGGUCCGGCGAUAACGCAAACCUCGGGAACGAUGAGUUCAUCGCCGCCGUUGAUCGUAAUGACCCUAACUUUGAAGAUCCCGAUGUUGCUGUAGCGGAGAAUUAAUAGAUUAUUAUUCGAUAGAUGUAUGUAUGUAUAUGUUUGUUUUUCUGGUAUUAAGUUGUAUCGAUAUAUGGAUUUAUCUCUGUAUGAUGAAGUAUCGAUCAUUAUAAAAUUGUCGCGAUUUAAUUUUUCUCGUAACAUCGAUCCGGUUCGGAGUCCGAAAAUAUGUUUAUAAUAAUAUAAUGAAAGAUUGUGAUAAUAUGCAUAUCAGAAUACAAUGCAACAACGAAGUGUUGUGUGUGAAAUUAGAAUGAUACAAGAGCAUAUGUAUGUUUUCAACUGCAGGACACUAAACAAGAGGCGAAACUCGAUCAAAUCAAAAUUUAAAACUUGCUGAUUAUGUAACAAAGUGUUAUUAGAGACCGGAAGCACGGUGGAUGCUGCUUCGUUGAGUGGAUUGAGUUUACAUUUACAGGUUGCUGUGAGAAUAAGCUUAUGUGAAGAAAUCGUGGUUUAUUGGUUUUUGGUUGGCAUUUUCAUAUGUAAAAAUUAUCUGAGCUUCAAUGUAGAUUGAACUUUAGUGCUCUGUAGUUAGGUGGUGGCUCACCGCUCACCUUAAGAGUUAAAACUUUGCCUAGUUGUAUUGGCUCAAGGUAGUAAUUUAUUUGUUUGAAACUAUAUGGAAGUUAAUAAUAACAUAAGAUAGCACAUAGAGCAAUACCUGCUGACUGCUAGGUCUAUGCAUGUAUUAUCAUGUCCAGUUCUAUGAUUUUUGAAAACCUUGAAAGAAUAUGUCCCUGCAAAUGUUUAAUAUUCCAUGUUUUUUUCAUUAAUGUAAGUUUUUUUCGUAUAGUAAUGGUAGUGGCCUGUCAAAUAGUGGUCCACAAUCUUCUAUUGCCAUUAUUUCAAAUUUGGAUCAGUUAUUAUUUUGACACUGUUCACCCAAUUGCACACAACUCUCAGAAUUUGGCUUUGAUAAUAUAGGAGAUUAAGUUUUCAGCUUAUGUGCCCGCAAAGAAAGUAUUAAUAAAAGCUUUGAAAUAAUGAGUCUUGGAUUGUUUAUUUUGCAUAUAUUUUAUGCACUCAUGUAAGAACACCAUUUAGGACUAAUGAUACAUGUAUUACAGCUCUAGAGACUCUCCAGACUUCAUGUUGGACAGAACUCCAAGAUUCUUUUGUGUUCUCUUGCUUGGCUUUUUCUAUGGCAUCAGUGAUGCCAGGGAAGGAUACUGAUCCAUAAUCAUCAUGCUCUGAAGGCGCAUAAAUCUGAGACAGAAGACCUUUGCUUUUUAGUAUUUUGAUGAAUAUAUGAUUUAAAACUGAGACUAUUUGAAGAUCGAGUAUUGAGUAUCUGUUAUGAACCCAAAUUCAACAACAAACAUUUGUUAGGUUUUGUUACAGGAAAGAGACACAUACCAAGUGUUUAUACCAUUGUCGUCCAAGCAGUCCGUCUCUGUCCAUAAAUGCUCGUUCUGCCAUCAUCAGUCUGUCAUUUAACUCUCUCACUUGCCUUGGUUUAGUUCCCCACAUUGAUGCCCAUCCUUUGGAUCUUUUAAGUGCCUGAAAAUCAAGCCUUGUUUAUUUUCGUACAUGGCAAAAUACGUUAAGUGGUGUAUGUCAUGUACUUGGAUAUGCGGCUAUAUAGGAUGUAGGUAUACCUGGAGCUCAAAUGCAUAGGACAAAUAAUUGAAAGGUAAAAAUUCCUCAUCUGCAAGUGAAAGAGCUACUAAGCCCCAAAUGCUUGCCACUGUUCCAAAAUAACAUUUUAAGCACAAAUGUUAAUCUACAAGUAUGCUCAUGUGUUUAUAGGACUAGGAGUUCUAAUGGUGUAAUUUUAAGUGCAGAUAUGCUUCAUAUGGAAGACACAAAAACCUGCUACAUGUCUGCGAAACAUCGGGUCACCAAAAUCUCUCAUCCAAAUGAAGUCAUCAUACAUUGAGUGGUAGACUGGGUAACCUGCACUGCAACUGGUUAUAGUAAGUCAUAAAUUUAGCAAAAAUAAUGAUUCCUUUACUUUGAAUAGUAAGUGGUUAUAGAAAUGCCAACUAAAUCUUUUUUUAUGCAGAAUGGUGUUUUUCCUUGAUAAAAGUUCUGCAAUAUUAGCACACAAGUUUUGCACAACGGGGAUGCUAGAGGCAGGUCAGUUGUAUGUCGCAAGACAUUUUAGAGUUCGGACGUUUUGUCGCUAACCAUUUCAUCGGUUCAUUUUAGCUUCAAACUCCCAUUUUAUUACAACUUUAACAAUGCUUGUGAAUCGUGACUGGGUUUGGGUAAAUUAAUUCCUAUCUUUAAAUAUCUACCUUGUUAUAAUUUUUAUUUAGGCCUCAUUUUGCGGUAGAAGCCAGGAAGUUCUAAUUUCUUUUUUGUUAGAGCUAUAAACUUGAUCCUAUGUUCCUUUUUGCUAGUUCUUACUGUCAUAGAUCCUAAUGUUAAGUCUAUUAGAUUGAGGUGGAUCUACCUUCACAUUUCUAUUGCAUCCUAAUAUAUGACUAUCAACUAUCAAGUAAAAAUCAUAAAAAUCUUUAAGUCACAUAUAUGAAGUUAUUAACAUUACAGAUUAGGGUAUGAUCCGUAACCUUAGCAGAUAAAAGUGCAUGAAAUGAAGUGUUGCUACCUUCACCAAAAGACAUAUCAGCUGCUGGAAUACCUACAUGCUGUAAAAAUGGUGCAUAGUCUGAACCUGCACCUCCUAACCUUCCGAUCUUCGUAGAAACAUUAGUUUAGUUGAAAACUUGAACAACCUAUUUUCUUCUGAUCACAUAUAUGGGGUUCUUCCUUUCCUUUAAAAAUGUCAAAUACUUACCUUAGGAUGAUCACUAGUGCUUAUCCACGAGUCAAAGAUAGAUUGUGAUGAGUUUUCUGGAUCUCGAACCUCAAAAAGACAUUUUGAAAUUUUAGUUAUAAUUUGUAAGUAAAAAAUUGGAAGCACUGACAUUUUUAUGUUUCUAAAAUAAACUCUAGCACAGGCAUCAGGUUUAUUCAGCCGCCAAGCACUGCUCUGAUUGCAAUUACUCGAAAGUGGUACUGUAGGCGUAUAGCAUUUAUAACACUUCUGAGUAUAAUAUCAAUAAUUUUUUGUAUCGGUAAGCUUAAAAAUGUUGCCUUUGCUUUGAAACUGCAAUUUUUAUUUGCAAAUUAUUUCUUCUGGUUACAAACUUAUUUAGUACCUGUUUAGUAGCUUGCAUUAAUAAUUGAUCCAGCUGUGGAGUUGCUGCAGCUUGAAAUCCUGCUCCACUAACUGCAACGUCAACAUUCAGUGAGUGUUCCUUGAAAGUGAGAGGUAGAGAAAGAGACCAGGCCAUACUCCUCCGCAUCCCAAUUACAAAAGAUGAUUGUCCUUCUUGGUUUCCACCCCUUUUUCUGCAACUUGCUUAGCCUAUCGGCAACCUAAGUAGCACAUAUAAUCAAGUGAACGUAAGGGGUAGUACUUUCACUUGGAGACCUUGGUUUGACUAUACUAUUUUAAAGAGGAUGCAUGAAUGCAAGGUGACCUCAAGCAAAGCUGCUGUGCCACUGUUGGGAUCAGCAGCUCCAAAAGUCCAUGCGUCUCUAUGAUUACCCAGUAUUACAAACCUGCAAAUGGUUUCAGCCUAUAGUAGUUACAUUUCUACAAAGCAAGUUUCAAUGUUUGAUUGAAGUGUCUGUACAACUCAAACAAAUAUUACUGUCAGGGAAACCAUACCGAUCAGGUUCUUCCUCCCCUUCAAUUAUACCUAUAACAUUUUCUAUUGUAUUAAUGCCUUGUUUUCCCUGCAAAAUUAAAGAACAAAUACAUGGCAACAGUUCACUCUCGGCUGUUAUAUCCCCUGUCAAUUUCAUAGCCACAAUACAUAUAGAAUUAUGGUCCGUCAGUUACUUACAGUGUAACUGAGAUUUAAAAUGCCAGGCCCUGGUCCAAUGUUGUAAACUGGACCAUCUUUGCAUCCCUGCCAGUCACUGUCUGCCACUUCCCCACCAAUGGACUUUAUAAUUGCCUCACCGUCUACUGCUGAUACAGGCAGUGAAGGUAUCAAUGGAAUGUCUCCUCCCUUGUCCACCUCAUCAUCAGAGAUUCUCUCACAUCCUCCCGUGCUCGGCCACCCUGGUGUGGUUGGAUCUCCACAUCCCUUAUACAGUGUUCCUACCUGGACUCCACUUGGUGGCAUCCACUUAUCAUGAGGAAACCCUUUUCCAUCAUCUCCACCCCCAUAGUCCUUUUUAUCCGUGAACAACACAGCACCUAUAGCACCUGCUUGGUAUGCAUUUGCCACAAUGUCCCCUCUAUAUAUUUGUCCCAUCCUAGCCAAUACAACAGUACCCGACACAUUCAACCCUUUUGUUUUCAAAAUCAUAAAAUCUUCCACACGUCCAUAAUUAACAUAGACAACUGGUCCGACCACAGUACCUGAUCUUGCAUAUGCAUAGAACGUAGGUAGGACUUCAUCUGCCACGUCUAUGUAGGGGUCACCCUCGUACGUCUCUUGUCGAAGUUCAAAUAUAGUAGUUGUGUCCGAAGGUGGAUGAGUCAGUGCUAGUGACCUCGAGACAGGAUAAGUCAAUGAUACUCCAUAUGAUCUAAUAUGUGAUCGGAUAUCAUAGGAAGAUAGAGUAGACAGAACAUAGCGUGCAACCUCAGCAUUAGCUUCAGUGCCUGCAACAUGGGGUCUGCGAGUUAGCGAAUAGAGGUGUUGGGAGACUGAAACAUUGUCUGAAAAGGUACUUGCUAUAUACAGUGAGUGAUAGUUAGACUUUUGUGGGGAUGAGAUGAAGAAAUACGUUAGGGAGCUGGCUAUGGUAAUCAAGGUGGCCGCGAUUGAUGUAUACAUCGGAAGUUAAUCAGAAAAGUUCAGAGUCUUUUGAAUGCUUCUUUUAGGGUGUAUAUCUUUCCUGAUUAACAAAAAUUGUAAAGAGAUGACAGUACAGUAGUUGAAUUAUCAGCAAUGAGAUUUUGAAGCAAGUGCCUGAUGAUUCUAAAUUAGUAGUGAUAAUAUUUAUGUUGGAUUCUGGGUUUCUCCCAAAUAUAUAUUACAAUAUAAUUGAGGCA
Long non-coding RNA from Daucus carota subsp. sativus, 5280 nucleotides. RefSeq lists it as uncharacterized. Lineage: Eukaryota; Viridiplantae; Streptophyta; Magnoliopsida; Apiales; Apiaceae. The record is from RefSeq and is a predicted model, not a curated record. The transcript is spliced from 4 exons.